RNAcentral lists this ribosomal RNA (1457 nucleotides) under Cyanobium sp. JJ21RS8. RNAcentral's name for it is "16S ribosomal RNA". It matches the Rfam family "Bacterial small subunit ribosomal RNA". The record is from RNAcentral. Lineage: Bacteria; Bacillati; Cyanobacteriota; Cyanophyceae; Synechococcales; Prochlorococcaceae. RNAcentral also lists the same sequence under 4 other names.
GAUGAACGCUGGCGGCGUGCUUAACACAUGCAAGUCGAACGAGCCUUCGGGCUAGUGGCGGACGGGUGAGUAACGCGUGGGAAUCUGCCCUCAGGAGGGGGAUAACGGCCGGAAACGGCCGCUAAUACCCCAUAUGCCGAGAGGUGAAACGAAUUUCGCCUGGGGAUGAGCCCGCGUCUGAUUAGCUAGUUGGUGAGGUAAUGGCUCACCAAGGCUUCGAUCAGUAGCUGGUCUGAGAGGAUGAUCAGCCACACUGGGACUGAGACACGGCCCAGACUCCUACGGGAGGCAGCAGUGGGGAAUUUUCCGCAAUGGGCGCAAGCCUGACGGAGCAACGCCGCGUGAGGGACGAAGGCCUCUGGGCUGUAAACCUCUUUUCUCAAGGAAGAAGACAUGACGGUACUUGAGGAAUAAGCCACGGCUAAUUCCGUGCCAGCAGCCGCGGUAAUACGGGAGUGGCAAGCGUUAUCCGGAAUUAUUGGGCGUAAAGCGUCCGCAGGCGGCCUUGAAAGUCUGUUGUUAAAGCGUGGAGCUCAACUCCAUUUAAGCAAUGGAAACUACAAGGCUAGAGUGUGGUAGGGGCAGAGGGAAUUCCCGGUGUAGCGGUGAAAUGCGUAGAUAUCGGGAAGAACACCAGUGGCGAAGGCGCUCUGCUGGGCCAUAACUGACGCUCAUGGACGAAAGCCAGGGGAGCGAAAGGGAUUAGAUACCCCUGUAGUCCUGGCCGUAAACGAUGAACACUAGGUGUCGGGAGAAUUAACCCUUCCGGUGUCGUAGCCAACGCGUUAAGUGUUCCGCCUGGGGAGUACGCACGCAAGUGUGAAACUCAAAGGAAUUGACGGGGGCCCGCACAAGCGGUGGAGUAUGUGGUUUAAUUCGAUGCAACGCGAAGAACCUUACCAGGGUUUGACAUCCUGCGAAUCCCUUGGAAACGAGGGAGUGCCUUCGGGAACGCAGUGACAGGUGGUGCAUGGCUGUCGUCAGCUCGUGUCGUGAGAUGUUGGGUUAAGUCCCGCAACGAGCGCAACCCACGUCUUUAGUUGCCAGCAUUCAGUUGGGCACUCUAGAGAGACCGCCGGUGAUAAACCGGAGGAAGGUGUGGAUGACGUCAAGUCAUCAUGCCCCUUACAUCCUGGGCUACACACGUACUACAAUGCUACGGACAAAGGGCAGCAAACUCGCGAGAGCUAGCAAAUCCCAUAAACCGUGGCUCAGUUCAGAUCGUAGGCUGCAACUCGCCUACGUGAAGGAGGAAUCGCUAGUAAUCGCAGGUCAGCAUACUGCGGUGAAUACGUUCCCGGGCCUUGUACACACCGCCCGUCACACCAUGGAAGUUGGCCAUGCCCGAAGUCGUUACUCCAACCCGCAAGGGAGGAGGACGCCGAAGGUGGGGCUGAUGACUGGGGUGAAGUCGUAACAAGGUAGCCGUACCGGAAGGUGCGGCUGGAUCACCUCCU